This 87-nucleotide non-coding RNA is filed under the name Chloropicon mariensis. Lineage: Eukaryota; Viridiplantae; Chlorophyta; Chloropicophyceae; Chloropicales; Chloropicaceae. The record is from RNAcentral.
GUGAAAGAGGAAAGAAGACAGACAGAAGACAGACAGAAGAAAAGUGAACGCCGACGAGCGAUUUUUUCCUUUCUUUUUUUUUUUUUA